This 406-nucleotide ribosomal RNA is filed under the name uncultured bacterium. RNAcentral's name for it is "partial 16S ribosomal RNA". It matches the Rfam family "Bacterial small subunit ribosomal RNA", at positions 29 to 526 of the family's 1533-position model. The record is from RNAcentral.
AUUGAACGCUGGCGGCAGGCCUAACACAUGCACGUCGAACGCGUGGCGGACGGGUGAGUAAUGUCUGGGAAACUGCCUGAUGGAGGGGGAUAACUACUGGAAACGGUAGCUAAUACCGCAUACCAUCAGAUGUGCCCAGAUGGGAUGAGCUUGUUGGUGGGGUAACGUCUCACCAAGGCGACGAUCCCUAGCUGGUCUGAGAGGAUGACCAGCCACACGGGAACGGAGAAACGGGCCAGACUCCUACGUGGGGCAGCAGGGGGGAAGAUUGCACAAUGGGCGCAAGCCUGAUGCAGCCAUGCCGGGUGUAUGAAGAAGGCCUUCGGGUUGUAAAGUACUUUCAGCGGGGAGGCGUUACCCGCAGAAGAAGCAGCGGCUAACUCCGUGCCAGCAGCCGCGGUAAUUC